CCGACGGUGUUCUUGGACGGCCGGUCGUUCGGAAUCUC
Molecule: small RNA, 38 nt
Filed under: Propionibacterium ruminifibrarum
Lineage: Bacteria; Bacillati; Actinomycetota; Actinomycetes; Propionibacteriales; Propionibacteriaceae
Description: Propionibacterium sp. JV5 CRISPR_Spacer
Source: RNAcentral